GGGAAUUUAGAGUUUUAGUGAAUGCAUGAGCCCUAAUUCGAGUAAUCUAAGCUUGUUCAACCCUUGGCGUUAAAGAAGAAAGUUCGAGUCAAGUGAAGCAACAAGGGGAUCUAGACCGAGGUAAAUCUCAUGUCUAGUUAUCAAGCUUGCCCGGAUCGAACACACCUCAAGCCCGUCAAG
Long non-coding RNA from Helianthus annuus (common sunflower), 180 nucleotides. RefSeq lists it as uncharacterized. The transcript has 3 exons. The record is from RefSeq and is a predicted model, not a curated record. Lineage: Eukaryota; Viridiplantae; Streptophyta; Magnoliopsida; Asterales; Asteraceae.